GACGCUCUGAGGUGAAAGCGUGUUCAUCUUUCCUUUUUUCAGCAGCACCUAAGGCGAAAAUGUAUAGCAGCAUCCUCCUUGUGUGAAUUAAUCUCGAGACGAACUGUUUUAAUAAGCAAAAUGUACGAUUGAACUCGUCCGGAAAUGCCGACCAGUUGUGACCCGGUUUGGACUAAGUCUUUAAACGUUUACCAACGUUUCAGGUGUGAUUAUCUGCAGAAGCUUAACGAGUUACAAAAUCCGAUUUCCUGGCGGUAUUUGUAAAGCGCAUUUGACAAGAUAAAGAAGAUGACAUUUAAAGGAGAAGCAUCAAUCAGUCACCGAGCAAAAGGAUGGAAACGACGUCAAUACUCACCGGUAUUCCCACCGUCAUCUUUCCUACGAAGUGUACAAAUGAUCCUCAGCUGGAACAACACCUACGGGAACGAAUUCGAUGGUGGUGGUCUAGUUGCAG
Armigeres subalbatus is the source of this 454-nucleotide long non-coding RNA. RefSeq lists it as uncharacterized. The transcript is spliced from 3 exons. The record is from RefSeq and is a predicted model, not a curated record. NCBI's taxonomy places the organism in Eukaryota, Metazoa, Arthropoda, Insecta, Diptera, Culicidae.